CAGCAGCCGCGGUAAUACGAGGGGGGCAAGCGUUGUUCGGAUUUAUUGGGCGUAAAGGGUGCGUAGGCGGUCCGUACAGUUGGAUGUGAGAUUCCUGGGCUUAACCUGGGGGCUGCAUUCAAUACGUGCGGGCUUGAGUGUGGAAGAGGGUUGUGGAAUUCCCAGUGUAGGGGUGAAAUUCGUAGAUAUUGGGAAGAACACCAGUGGCGAAGGCGGCUUACUGACUCAUCCUAGACGCUGAGGUGCGAAAGCAUGGGGAGCAAACAGGAUUAGAUACCCCGGUAGUCCCUGUCUCUUAUAC
Molecule: ribosomal RNA, 301 nt
Filed under: uncultured bacterium
Lineage: Bacteria
Description: partial 16S ribosomal RNA
Rfam family: Bacterial small subunit ribosomal RNA
Source: RNAcentral